RNAcentral lists this ribosomal RNA (825 nucleotides) under Triticum aestivum (bread wheat). Its description in RNAcentral is "partial small subunit ribosomal RNA". The record is from RNAcentral. Lineage: Eukaryota; Viridiplantae; Streptophyta; Magnoliopsida; Poales; Poaceae.
AUGAGUUGUUUCCAAUUCACGAAGAAACUGUGCCGGAAUCUGACUUCAGUUUCAUCAAACUUUUGGUGGGGAGCUGAAAAUGGCAAACCCAAGGUGCAUUGGGUGGCUUGGGACAAAAUGUGCAGAAGUAAACGGGUGGGUGGGAUGGGGUACAGGGAUUUUGAAGCUUUCAAUAAAGCGCUGCUCGCAAAACAAGCUUGACGGAUUCUUACUGUCCCAGACUCGCUGCGUGCAAAAGUUUUAAAGGCCAGAUACUUUCCGCAAGGAGAUCUUAUGAAGGCUUCGAUCCCUAAGAGUGCCUCACAAGCUUGGAGUAUUAUUAUUUAUGGCCGUUCUUUACUGAAAGAAGGCCUCAUUUGGCGUAUAGGGAAUGGAACCAAGGUAAAUGUGUGGUCUGACAAUUGGAUCCCAAGAGAAGGUGCGCCGAAGCCUGUUGGUGCUCGGGCUAUGUGCAAUAUUCGAACUGUGGAUGAGUUGUUUGAUUAUUCUGGUUCUAGAUGGGACAUGGCUACUUUACAGCGGGUGUUCCAUGAAGCUGAUGUUGCUGACAUUGCUCAGAUUGUGGUGGGAGGUCUCAGCAGAGAUGACAUGAUGGCCUGGAAUUACACGAAGGACGGUAUUUUUACGGUUCGUUCAGCUUACCAUCUUGAGAUGAAACUGAAAGACACAAGCUCAGGUUCACCUGAAUGUUCUGCUUCGGCCUUGAUGCAUACUGGAUGGAACGAGCUAUGGAGUACUGAAGUGCCGGCCAAGGCUAAGGCACAUUUGGAGACCGUUGAAGAAUGGCCUCGCAGUGGGGACAGAGUUGUACCGGCGCAGAAUUAA